CUCCGAGAGGAGCGCAGCUCCAACGCGACCCCAGGUCAGGCGGGGCUACCCGCUGAGUUUAAAGCAUA
RNAcentral lists this ribosomal RNA (68 nucleotides) under Discocnide mexicana. RNAcentral's name for it is "partial 28S ribosomal RNA". The record is from RNAcentral. Lineage: Eukaryota; Viridiplantae; Streptophyta; Magnoliopsida; Rosales; Urticaceae.